UGCCAGCAGCCGCGGUAAUACGGAGGGGGUUAGCGUUGUUCGGAAUUACUGGGCGUAAAGCGCACGUAGGCGGACUAUUAAGUCAGGGGUGAAAUCCCGGGGCUCAACCCCGGAACUGCCUUUGAUACUGGUAGUCUAGAGUUCGAGAGAGGUGAGUGGAAUUCCGAGUGUAGAGGUGAAAUUCGUAGAUAUUCGGAGGAACACCAGUGGCGAAGGCGGCUCACUGGCUCGAUACUGACGCUGAUGGACGAAAGCGUGGGGAGCGAACGGGAUUAGAUA
This 279-nucleotide ribosomal RNA is filed under the name uncultured bacterium. Its description in RNAcentral is "partial 16S ribosomal RNA". It matches the Rfam family "Bacterial small subunit ribosomal RNA", at positions 506 to 784 of the family's 1533-position model. The record is from RNAcentral.